Molecule: transfer RNA, 74 nt
Filed under: Lacticaseibacillus pabuli
Lineage: Bacteria; Bacillati; Bacillota; Bacilli; Lactobacillales; Lactobacillaceae
Description: Lacticaseibacillus sp. KACC 23028 tRNA-Arg
Rfam family: tRNA
About the family: Transfer RNA (tRNA) molecules are approximately 80 nucleotides in length. Their secondary structure includes four short double-helical elements and three loops (D, anti-codon, and T loops).
Source: RNAcentral
GCGUCAAUAGCUCAGUUGGAUAGAGCAAUGGUCUUCUAAACCAUCGGUCGCGGGUUCGAACCCCGCUUGACGCA